AGCUAAGGUCCCAAAGUCAUGGUUAAGUGGGAAACGAUGUGGGAAGGCCCAGACAGCCAGGAUGUUGGCUUAGAAGCAGCCAUCAUUUAAAGAAAGCGUAAUAGCUCACUGGUCGAGUCGGCCUGCGCGGAAGAUGUAACGGGGCUAAACCAUGCACCGAAGCUGCGGCAGCGACGCUUAUGCGUUGUUGGGUAGGGGAGCGUUCUGUAAGCCUGCGAAGGUGUGCUGUGAGGCAUGCUGGAGGUAUCAGAAGUGCGAAUGCUGACAUAAGUAACGAUAAAGCGGGUGAAAAGCCCGCUCGCCGGAAGACCAAGGGUUCCUGUCCAACGUUAAUCGGGGCAGGGUGAGUCGACCCCUAAGGCGAGGCCGAAAGGCGUAGUCGAUGGGAAACAGGUUAAUAUUCCUGUACUUGGUGUUACUGCGAAGGGGGGACGGAGAAGGCUAUGUUGGCCGGGCGACGGUUGUCCCGGUUUAAGCGUGUAGGCUGGUUUUCCAGGCAAAUCCGGAAAAUCAAGGCUGAGGCGUGAUGACGAGGCACUACGGUGCUGAAGCAACAAAUGCCAUGCUUCCAGGAAAAGCCUCUAAGCAUCAGGUAACAUCAAAUCGUACCCCAAACCGACACAGGUGGUCAGGUAGAGAAUACCAAGGCGCUUGAGAGAACUCGGGUGAAGGAACUAGGCAAAAUGGUGCCGUAACUUCGGGAGAAGGCACGCUGAUAUGUAGGUGAAGCGACUUGCUCGUGGAGCUGAAAUCAGUCGAAGAUACCAGCUGGCUGCAACUGUUUAUUAAAAACACAGCACUGUGCAAACACGAAAGUGGACGUAUACGGUGUGACGCCUGCCCGGUGCCGGAAGGUUAAUUGAUGGGGUCAGCGCAAGCGAAGCUCUUGAUCGAAGCCCCGGUAAACGGCGGCCGUAACUAUAACGGUCCUAAGGUAGCGAAAUUCCUUGUCGGGUAAGUUCCGACCUGCACGAAUGGCGUAAUGAUGGCCAGGCUGUCUCCACCCGAGACUCAGUGAAAUUGAACUCGCUGUGAAGAUGCAGUGUACCCGCGGCAAGACGGAAAGACCCCGUGAACCUUUACUAUAGCUUGACACUGAACAUUGAGCCUUGAUGUGUAGGAUAGGUGGGAGGCUUUGAAGUGUGGACGCCAGUCUGCAUGGAGCCGACCUUGAAAUACCACCCUUUAAUGUUUGAUGUUCUAACGUUGACCCGUAAUCCGGGUUGCGGACAGUGUCUGGUGGGUAGUUUGACUGGGGCGGUCUCCUCCUAAAGAGUAACGGAGGAGCACGAAGGUUGGCUAAUCCUGGUCGGACAUCAGGAGGUUAGUGCAAUGGCAUAAGCCAGCUUGACUGCGAGCGUGACGGCGCGAGCAGGUGCGAAAGCAGGUCAUAGUGAUCCGGUGGUUCUGAAUGGAAGGGCCAUCGCUCAACGGAUAAAAGGUACUCCGGGGAUAACAGGCUGAUACCGCCCAAGAGUUCAUAUCGACGGCGGUGUUUGGCACCUCGAUGUCGGCUCAUCACAUCCUGGGGCUGAAGUAGGUCCCAAGGGUAUGGCUGUUCGCCAUUUAAAGUGGUACGCGAGCUGGGUUUAGAACGUCGUGAGACAGUUCGGUCCCUAUCUGCCGUGGGCGCUGGAGAACUGAGGGGGGCUGCUCCUAGUACGAGAGGACCGGAGUGGACGCAUCACUGGUGUUCGGGUUGUCAUGCCAAUGGCACUGCCCGGUAGCUAAAUGCGGAAGAGAUAAGUGCUGAAAGCAUCUAAGCACGAAACUUGCCCCGAGAUGAGUUCUCCCUGACUCCUUGAGAGUCCUGAAGGAACGUUGAAGACGACGACGUUGAU
This 1841-nucleotide ribosomal RNA is filed under the name Escherichia coli. RNAcentral's name for it is "partial 23S ribosomal RNA". It matches the Rfam family "Bacterial large subunit ribosomal RNA", at positions 1037 to 2857 of the family's 2925-position model. The record is from RNAcentral. Lineage: Bacteria; Pseudomonadati; Pseudomonadota; Gammaproteobacteria; Enterobacterales; Enterobacteriaceae.